RNAcentral lists this ribosomal RNA (492 nucleotides) under uncultured bacterium. Its description in RNAcentral is "partial 16S ribosomal RNA". It matches the Rfam family "Bacterial small subunit ribosomal RNA", at positions 29 to 507 of the family's 1533-position model. The record is from RNAcentral.
AGUGAACGCUGGCGGUAGGCCUAACACAUGCAAGUCGAACGGCAGCACAGUAAGAGCUUGCUCUUACGGGUGGCGAGUGGCGGACGGGUGAGGAAUACAUCGGACUCUACUUUUUCGUGGGGGAUAACGUAGGGAAACUUACGCUCAUACCGCAUACGACCUACGGGUGAAAGCAGGGGAUCUUCGGACCUUGCGCGAUUGAAUGAGCCGAUGUCGGAUUAGCUAGUUGGCGGGGUAAAGGCCCACCAAGGCGACGAUCCGUAGCUGGUCUGAGAGGAUGGUAAGCCACACUGGAACUGAGACACGGUCCAGGCUCCUGCGGGAGGCAGCAGUGGGGAAUAUUGGACAAUGGGCGCAAGCCUGAUCCAGCCAUACCGCGUGGGUGAAGAAGGCCUUCGGGUUGUAAAGCCCUUUUGUUGGGAAAGAAAAGCAGCAGGUUAAUACCCCGCUGUUCUGACGGUACCCAAAGAAUAAGCACCGGCUAACUUCGUG